Astatotilapia calliptera (eastern happy) is the source of this 1172-nucleotide long non-coding RNA. NCBI's taxonomy places the organism in Eukaryota, Metazoa, Chordata, Actinopteri, Cichliformes, Cichlidae. The record is from Ensembl.
CAGGUGGUUUAUGUGGUGAGUAAAGGCUGGCGUUUAUUAAGCCUUUAGUUGCUUCAGUAGGAAUUCCUUUGAGUCAGUUUGGGUCGGGUAUAGUAAGGAUACCCAUAUAGCUGCAGCACACCUGAAAACUAAACUGUGAGCGACUUGCAUUCUGGGAAAUGUAGGGCGCAGCCAGCAUGAAGGAUAAAACAGUCACUUCUGCUUCUGCUACACAUUUCUAUCAUUAACAAACAAUACCCAGCACAUCUAAUGACUGCUAUGCCAAACUGGGUGGGUAAUUUAAAGACAAGAACUACAUCUUUGAUGUGUAUUUGGCUUUUUAAUCCUCUAGGUUUUCAGGGGGAGGUUUUGGGCCUAUCCUCUGAGUCCAGUACACAUUUUUCUGAGUGGCAGGCUAUGAGUCCUCUGGUGGAGUGUGAUGAUGAUGUCAUGGUCUUCACUGCCUCCGGUCAAGGAUUUACACACCUGUCAGUGGACAGAGUGGGAACCUCUCCGAUCUCGGUGUUUCAGUUGCCUCCAUACUGUGGUUACACUCUGAGGACAUCGUGGAGUGACCUUGAGAUGAUGGUGCCAUACGACGCCUGUUACAUCACCCAGGAGGUACCAGCAGCAGCGUUUGACGCCCAUCAUCGUCUCUCGUGGUCUGUGUUAACUGCCCCUGACUUUGUCGUGCUGCUUUCUGUCAGAAUAACAGUUACAUGCUGCCCCUGCUGUGGUGGGGCACCCCGCUGAAGCUCUCCUGCCCAAUUCGGAUAUCCAUUCCUACACCCUUGUUCCCUCUUUCACCACCCUCAGUCUUCUGCUCCUCCUUUGGCAUGGCAGUGCAGAUACAUGCACAGGAGAAGGAUAUACCUGCAUUGGGAGUGAAAGGUUUUUUGUUUUGUGUGUGUAUUUUAUGUAAAGUUAGGAGAUAGCUUAAUGCUUCUGGUCUUGAAGAAUAGUGGAAAUUUAUGCAAUUUUUAAACACUGGUGGUUUUCAUUGUCAAUUGAGUAAAAAAACAAAAACAAAAGUAUGUUCAAUGUCUUGCAGUGAAUGGAGCUUUGCAUCCAUUUGUAUCUGAACAGUGUGCGUACUAUAUAGACUCCCAGUCUGAGGAGCAUACUUUGUUCAUCUACUCCAGUGCUCCUUGUUUCACCAGUAGAGUAAGUUUUCCUAUUUUAACUGGAUUACC